This 365-nucleotide ribosomal RNA is filed under the name uncultured eukaryote. RNAcentral describes it as "partial 18S ribosomal RNA". It matches the Rfam family "Eukaryotic small subunit ribosomal RNA", at positions 592 to 975 of the family's 1831-position model. The record is from RNAcentral.
CAAUAGCGUAUAUUAACGUUGUUGCAGUUAAAAAGCUCGUAGUUGGAUUUCUGGAGGGAGCGUCGGCCCGUAUUUACGAGUGCGUGACGUCUCUGUCCAUCCUUGCGGGAAGGCACGGCAUUGAUUUGUUGUGUCGGAUCGCAUCAUUUACUGUGAAAAAAUUGGAGUGUUCAAAGCAGGCUUUCGCUUGAAUACAUUAGCAUGGAAUAAUAAGAUAGGACUUUGGUGCUAUUUUGUUGGUUGAGCCUAAAGUAAUGAUUAAUAGGGAUAGUUGGGGGCACCUGUAUUGCGUUGUCAGAGGUGAAAUUCUUGGAUUUACGCAAGACAAACAGCUGCGAAAGCGUCUGCCAAGGAUGUUUUCAUUA